GAUGAACGCUAGCUACAGGCUUAACACAUGCAAGUCGCGGGGCAGCAUGGGGGUUGCUUGCACUCCCCGAUGGCGACCGGCGCACGGGUGAGUAACGCGUAUCCAACCUGCCCUUCACCACGGGAUAACCCGGCGAAAGUCGGACUAAUACCGUAUGUUGUCCAUUGACGGCAUCCGAUUUGGACGAAAGGCUUGGCGGUGAGGGAUGGGGAUGCGUCCGAUUAGCCAGACGGCGGGGUAACGGCCCACCGUGGCUACGAUCGGUAGGGGUUCUGAGAGGAAGGUCCCCCACACUGGAACUGAGACACGGUCCAGACUCCUACGGGAGGCAGCAGUGAGGAAUAUUGGUCAAUGGGCGUAAGCCUGAACCAGCCAAGUAGCGUGCAGGAUGACGGCCCUAUGGGUUGUAAACUGCUUUUAUGCGGGGAUAAAGUGGCCCACGUGUGGGCUUUUGCAGGUACCGCAUGAAUAAGGACCGGCUAAUUCCGUG
RNAcentral lists this ribosomal RNA (490 nucleotides) under uncultured bacterium. RNAcentral's name for it is "partial 16S ribosomal RNA". It matches the Rfam family "Bacterial small subunit ribosomal RNA", at positions 28 to 507 of the family's 1533-position model. The record is from RNAcentral.